CCCCUUGGUCCCUCCUGACUCCCCCUCCCUCCUGACUAACCCCUCUGAGAACAUGCAGCCCCCACUGACCGAGACUCCCACCCCUCACCGUGGACAGCUGCAUCCAGCUCCUGACACGGACCCUCACCCACCUACCCCAGGACUUGCCCUGCCCCUCACUAACCCCUGAGAACUAACCCUUACCCUCCCUCCCACACCUGGUGCCUGACCCCCACACCCUGCCCCAUGACUGACCCAUCACCCCAUUCACAUCUCCCCCCUGGAUUUUUUUAUUCAAUCAGGAAACCUGGAUGCACACCUGGGACACCCAGGUGUAGAAUGGCUCAAGCCCUCAGGGGUGAGCCAGCAUUUAAUCUGGUGUCCCCAUCAGCAUCCAGCACUAGCUGGGCAUAGGGAUUCCCCUGAGCAAACCCACGUCCCAGGAGCUCAGGGAGGUGGGGAACAGGCACUAACCUAGGAGGCUCCUGGCAGAGGUGAUCUAGGCUCAGAUGGAGGAGGCACAGGGAGGGCAGGAAGGGGUACAAGCAAAACUCUCAGGAAUGGGACUUAGGAUCAGAGGUCUGCAGUGGGCCAGAGCUCUGGCUGAGAGCCAGAGACCUAAUUCUAUCUGCUAAUGACUAGAGGAGCCACACAGGCAAAGCCUGGGAGACCAGGUCGCACAAGAAGGGAAAGCCGCAGCUAGAUGAGACGGGAAAGCUAGGCCAGGCUGGGGGCUGGGAACCUUGUCCAGGAGCCCAGGCCGGCAGGUGAGUCUGGGCAGGACAGGGGCAGCUCAAGGGGGCCUUGUGGGAAAUAGCUGGAAGGAGAGAUGAAGUCAGGAGACCGGUGAGGGUCCAGGGGAGAGGAUGAGGCCUGAAUGGAGCUGUGGGAAUAGAGAGGAAGAGAUGAGGCAGACAGGGGUCAGGGACCAAGAGGGACAGGGAAUGAGAGUGUGCAGAGGUGUUCGUGGAUGAAGCAUCCAGCGCUUAGCACAGGCUGGGAAGUGAACAUGUUCUGUCAUCCUGCAGAGCCUGCCAGCCCCUGGCUCCUUUCACAUAUCCAAUCAUUCGCUCCUUCAGCAAUGAAUUCUUAAGGGCAUAGUGCCAGGUAUUGGAGAAUCUGCCAUCAUGGUUCCCAGUCCAGAGCAAAGGUCGGCAAGCUGAGGCCCAGGGGCCAACGCAUCCAGCCAGCUGUUUUUGUAACAGAACUUUAUUGGGAUGCAUCCACUGUUUGACUACAAAGGCAGAGUGGAGGCCGCACAGCCCCCAGACCAAAAAGGCUCACUCUCUGGCCCUUUAUAGAAACAGUUUGCCAAACCCUGGUUGGAGGAAGCAGAAAAUAAGAAAAAGAUUUUUUUUCAGGUCACUUCAAAUAAGGGGGAUCUGUGGAAGCCUUUUAUGAGAGAUGACAUAAAACCUGAAGGGUGGAAAGAGCCAGCCAGGCAGAAGGAACAGCUAGUGUCAAGGCCCUCAGGUGCUGAGGCCAUCUGUCAAAGAAAUGACCAGGAGGGCAGCAGGGCUGGAGCUGAGCUGACCCGGGUGGGGGGAGUGCAGAGUGGG
This 1538-nucleotide long non-coding RNA is filed under the name Marmota monax (woodchuck). The record is from RNAcentral. Lineage: Eukaryota; Metazoa; Chordata; Mammalia; Rodentia; Sciuridae.